RNAcentral lists this ribosomal RNA (468 nucleotides) under uncultured bacterium. RNAcentral's name for it is "partial 16S ribosomal RNA". It matches the Rfam family "Bacterial small subunit ribosomal RNA", at positions 28 to 507 of the family's 1533-position model. The record is from RNAcentral.
GACGAACGCUGGCGGCGUGCUUAACACAUGCCAGUCGAACGGAAAGGCCCUGCUUUUGUGGGGUGCUCGAGUGGCGAACGGGUGAGUAACACGUGAGUAACCUGCCCUUUACUUUGGGAUAACUUCAGGAAACUGGGGCUAAUACCGGAUAGGAGCUCCUGCUGCAUGGUGGGGGUUGGAAAGUUUCGGCGGUUGGGGAUGGACGCGCGGCUUAUCAGCUUGUUGGUGGGGUAGUGGCUUACCAAGGCUUUGACGGGUAGCCGGCCUGAGAGGGUGACCGGCCACAUUGGGCCUGAGAGACGGGCCAGACUCCUACGGGAGGCAGCAGUGGGGAAUAUUGCACAAUGGGCGGAAGCCUGAUGCAGCAACGCCGCGUGCGGGAUGACGGCCUUCGGGUUGUAAACCGCUUUCGCCUGUGACGAAGCGUGAGUGACGGUAAUGGGUAAAGAAGCACCGGCUAACUACGUG